UACAGAGGGUGCAAACGUUGCUCGGAAUUACUGGGCGUAAAGCGCGUGUAGGCUGACAUGCAAGUCGGGUGUGAAAUCCCAGGGCUCAACCUUGGAACUGCAUUCGAAACUGCACGUCUUGAGUACUGGAGAGGGAGGCGGAAUUCCGGGUGUAGAGGUGAAAUUCGUAGAUAUCCGGAGGAACACCAGUGGCGAAGGCGGCUUCCUGGACAGUAACUGACGCUGAGACGCGAAAGCGUGGGGAGCAAACAGG
RNAcentral lists this ribosomal RNA (253 nucleotides) under uncultured bacterium. RNAcentral's name for it is "partial 16S ribosomal RNA". It matches the Rfam family "Bacterial small subunit ribosomal RNA", at positions 524 to 776 of the family's 1533-position model. The record is from RNAcentral.